Molecule: small RNA, 96 nt
Filed under: Caenorhabditis elegans
Lineage: Eukaryota; Metazoa; Nematoda; Chromadorea; Rhabditida; Rhabditidae
Description: Unclassified non-coding RNA T13H5.9
Source: RNAcentral
GGUGAAAGGAUGUCUACAAGUACUGGAGAAAUUACUGAAAGUGAUCGUAAGCUUCUCGAUGAACUCAGAAAAAGGAUUCAUAAAGAAUUAGAAUUA